Molecule: long non-coding RNA, 238 nt
Filed under: Homo sapiens (human)
Lineage: Eukaryota; Metazoa; Chordata; Mammalia; Primates; Hominidae
Description: non-protein coding lnc-ATG2B-7:1
Source: RNAcentral
UUGGGAAAAUUCUUUAUUACUAUAAACUUGCGAUAGUCAAUUAUGUAAAUUACCACAUAGGGUUUUCUUUUCUAAUUGCCAGCAUAGUUCAGAAUUUCUUCUCUCACGGGCAAAUAUCAGACCAGAGUCUGAGGGCUGUGGGUAGGAAAAUUUGGACUUGGGUCUAUGAGUUCUAACAAUGACUUGAUUUGAGUGGUUGAAUGGGGGAAUGGAUUGCCUGAAAAGUAAUGAGCUCUCC